CCAGCAGCCGCGGUAAUACAGAGGGUGCAAGCGUUAAUCGGAAUUACUGGGCGUAAAGCGAGCGUAGGUGGCUUGAUAAGUCAGAUGUGAAAGCCCCGGGCUUAACCUGGGAACGGCAUCUGAUACUGUUAGGCUAGAGUAGGUGAGAGGAAGGUAGAAUUCCAGGUGUAGCGGUGAAAUGCGUAGAGAUCUGGAGGAAUACCGAUGGCGAAGGCAGCCUUCUGGCAUCAUACUGACACUGAGGUUCGAAAGCGUGGGUAGCAAACAGGAUUAGAUACCCUGGUAGUCCACGCCGUAAACGAUGUCUACUAGUCGUUGGGUCCCUUGAGGACUUAGUGACGCAGCUAACGCAAUAAGUAGACCGCCUGGGGAGUACGGCCGCAAGGUUAAAACUCAAAUGAAUUGACGGGGGCCCGCACAAGCGGUGGAGCAUGUGGUUUAAUUCGAUGCAACGCGAAGAACCUUACCUGGUCUUGACAUAUCUAGAAUCCUGCAGAGAUGCGGGAGUGCCUUCGGGAAUUAGAAUACAGGUGCUGCAUGGCUGUCGUCAGCUCGUGUCGUGAGAUGUUGGGUUAAGUCCCGCAACGAGCGCAACCCUUGUCCUUAGUUACCAGCGGUUUGGCCGGGAACUCUAAGGAUACUGCCAGUGACAAACUGGAGGAAGGCGGGGACGACGUCAAGUCAUCAUGGCCCUUACGACCAGGGCUACACACGUGCUACAAUGGUAGGUACAGAGGGCAGCUACACAGCGAUGUGAUGCGAAUCUCAAAAAGCCUAUCGUAGUCCAGAUUGGAGUCUGCAACUCGACUCCAUGAAGUAGGAAUCGCUAGUAAUCGCGGAUCAGAAUGCCGCGGUGAAUACGUUCCCGGGCCUUGUACACACCGCCCGUCACACCAUGGGAGUUGAUUGCACCAGAAGUGGUUAGCCUAACCUUUUAGGAAGGCGAUCAC
This 950-nucleotide ribosomal RNA is filed under the name Psychrobacter sp. 27F07-MB1-10a. RNAcentral describes it as "bacterial SSU rRNA". It matches the Rfam family "Bacterial small subunit ribosomal RNA", at positions 508 to 1457 of the family's 1533-position model. The record is from RNAcentral. Lineage: Bacteria; Pseudomonadati; Pseudomonadota; Gammaproteobacteria; Moraxellales; Moraxellaceae.